RNAcentral lists this ribosomal RNA (444 nucleotides) under uncultured bacterium. RNAcentral's name for it is "partial 16S ribosomal RNA". It matches the Rfam family "Bacterial small subunit ribosomal RNA", at positions 339 to 795 of the family's 1533-position model. The record is from RNAcentral.
CUACGGGUGGCUGCAGUGGGGAAUAUUGCACAAUGGGCGCAAGCCUGAUGCAGCAACGCCGCGUGAGGGAUGAAGGCCUUCGGGUUGUAAACCUCUUUUAGCAGGGAAGAAGCGAAAGUGACGGUACCUGCAGAAAAAGCACCGGCUAACUACGUGCCAGCAGCCGCGGUAAUACGUAGGGUGCAAGCGUUGUCCGGAAUUAUUGGGCGUAAAGAGCUCGUAGGCGGUUUGUCACGUCUGCUGUGAAAAUCCAAGGCUCAACCUUGGACUUGCAGUGGGUACGGGCAGGCUAGAGUGCGGUAGGGGAGCUGGGAAUUCCUGGUGUAGCGGUGGAAUGGGCAGAUAUCAGGAGGACCACCAAUGGCGAAGGCACAUCUCUGGGCCGUAACUGACGCUGAGGAGCGAAAGCGUGGGGAGCGAACAGGAUUAGAUACCCCGGUAGUC